UACGUAGGUGGCAAGCGUUGUCCGGAUUUACUGGGCGUAAAGAGCGCGCAGGCGGUCGGUCAAGUCGCGUGUGAAAGCCCCCGGCUCAACUGGGGAGGGUCACGCGAUACUGAUCGACUCGAAGGCAGGAGAGGGAAGUGGAAUUCCCGGUGUAGUGGUGAAAUGCGUAGAUAUCGGGAGGAACACCAGUGGCGAAGGCGACUUCCUGGCCUGUUCUUGACGCUGAGGCGCGAAAGCUAGGGGAGCAAACGGG
RNAcentral lists this ribosomal RNA (253 nucleotides) under uncultured bacterium. Its description in RNAcentral is "partial 16S ribosomal RNA". It matches the Rfam family "Bacterial small subunit ribosomal RNA", at positions 524 to 776 of the family's 1533-position model. The record is from RNAcentral.